This 408-nucleotide ribosomal RNA is filed under the name Triticum aestivum (bread wheat). RNAcentral describes it as "partial small subunit ribosomal RNA". The record is from RNAcentral. Lineage: Eukaryota; Viridiplantae; Streptophyta; Magnoliopsida; Poales; Poaceae.
AUGCCUCCAGUGGCAUCACCUUGCAGUAGUUGUCGCGCUCGCCGUAGAAAUCUGGGUCGACAGAUCCACCGAUUCAUUCAACCACGCAGACGCAGACAUGACGACGAGACGGAUCGGCAUCGAAGGAGAUGGAAGAUACUAGUUACCCGAAGGGUCGUCGGUCUGGCUGUUGAGGAACUGGGAGCGCAGGAGGAAAAGGAGACACCAUACGGAGAAGACGACCGAGACCGACACCUCGCGGAGGCCGCCGUCCAUGGAGAGCACAUCCGUUACCGGCGUCGGCCCGCCGCCGCCUCCCCUGUGCUGAUGAGCCCCUCCCCCACCGCCUUUUCCUCCUCCGCCUCCUUCUCUCUUCUUCUUGCUCAUGCAUGCACCACCUACCUACGACGACGUGCCUGCCCACUGUGA